Molecule: ribosomal RNA, 484 nt
Filed under: uncultured bacterium
Lineage: Bacteria
Description: partial 16S ribosomal RNA
Rfam family: Bacterial small subunit ribosomal RNA
Source: RNAcentral
AUUGAACGCUGGCGGCAUGCUUUACACAUGCAAGUCGAACGGCAGCGCGGGCUUCGGCCUGGCGGCGAGUGGCGAACGGGUGAGUAAUGCAUCGGAACGUGCCCAGUAUUGGGGGAUAGCCCGGCGAAAGCCGGAUUAAUACCGCAUACGAUCUGAGGGUGAAAGCGGGGGACCGAAAGGCCUCGCGCUAUUGGAGCGGCCGAUGUCGGAUUAGCUAGUUGGUGGGGUAAAGGCUUACCAAGGCGACGAUCCGUAGCUGGUCUGAGAGGACGACCGGCCACACUGGGACUGAGACACGGCCCAGACUCCUACGGGAGGCCGCAGUGGGGAAUUUUGGACAAUGGGGGCAACCCUGAUCCAGCCAUGCCGCGUGCGGGAAGAAGGCCUUCGGGUUGUAAACCGCUUUUGUUCGGGAAGAAAUCCUCUGGGCUAAUACACCGGGGGGAUGACGGUACCGGAAGAAUAAGCACCGGCUAACUACGUG